GACUCGAUUACGCGGACUAAAGGGACUGAAAAUCCUUGUGUCGGUGGUUCGAUUCCACCUCUAGGCACCA
This 70-nucleotide transfer RNA is filed under the name Gammaproteobacteria bacterium. Its description in RNAcentral is "tRNA-Ser". The record is from RNAcentral. Lineage: Bacteria; Pseudomonadati; Pseudomonadota; Gammaproteobacteria.